This 266-nucleotide ribosomal RNA is filed under the name uncultured archaeon. RNAcentral's name for it is "partial 16S ribosomal RNA". It matches the Rfam family "Archaeal small subunit ribosomal RNA", at positions 717 to 982 of the family's 1478-position model. The record is from RNAcentral.
ACACGACUACAUUAGAUACCCGGGUAGUCCUAGCCGUAAACGAUACUCGCUAGGUGUCGGCCACGGUGGCGACCGUUGUCGGUGCCGUAGGGAAGCCGUGAAGCGAGCCACCUGGGAAGUACGGCCGCAAGGCUGAAACUUAAAGGAAUUGGCGGGGGAGCACCACAACGGGUGGAGCUUGCGGUUUAAUUGGAUUCAACGCCGGAAAUCUUACCGGGACCGACAGCAACAUGAAGGCCAGGCUGAAGACUUUGCCGGAUUAGCUG